AUUGAACGCUGGCGGCAGGCCUAACACAUGCCAGUCGAACGAGUGGCGGACUGGUGUGCACUGUCUCGGCAACUCCCUGAUGGAGGGAGAUAAGUAUUGGAAACGGUACCUAAUACCGCAUACCAUCAGAUGUGCCCAGAUGGGAUUAGCUAGUUGGUGGGGUAAAGGCUCACAAAGGCGACGAUCCCUAGCUGGUCUGAGAGGAUGAACAGCCACACUGGAACUGAGACACGGUCCAGACUCCUACGGGAGGCAGCAGUGGGGAAUAUUGCACAAUGGGCGCAAGCCUGAUGCAGCAAUGCCGCGUGUGUGAAGAAGGUCUUCGGGUUGUAAAGUACUGUCAGCGGGGAGGCGUGACCCGCAGAAUAAGCACCGGCUAACUCCGUGCCAGCAGCCGCGGUAAUAC
RNAcentral lists this ribosomal RNA (406 nucleotides) under uncultured bacterium. Its description in RNAcentral is "partial 16S ribosomal RNA". It matches the Rfam family "Bacterial small subunit ribosomal RNA", at positions 30 to 526 of the family's 1533-position model. The record is from RNAcentral.